This 69-nucleotide transfer RNA is filed under the name bovine gut metagenome. It matches the Rfam family "tRNA". Rfam says of the family: Transfer RNA (tRNA) molecules are approximately 80 nucleotides in length. The record is from RNAcentral.
GGAUGUAGCCCAGCUGGAUAGAGCGCCAGACUCCGACUCUGGAGGCCGAGGGUUCGAAUCCCUUCAUCC